CAAGAUAUAGUUUAUGUAAAAUAUUAAUUUUGGAGAUUAGAGAAAUUAGUAUUAAUUUUCUUGA
RNAcentral lists this transfer RNA (64 nucleotides) under Lasioglossum lativentre. RNAcentral describes it as "tRNA-Pro". Lineage: Eukaryota; Metazoa; Arthropoda; Insecta; Hymenoptera; Halictidae. The record is from RNAcentral.